Molecule: ribosomal RNA, 360 nt
Filed under: Triticum aestivum (bread wheat)
Lineage: Eukaryota; Viridiplantae; Streptophyta; Magnoliopsida; Poales; Poaceae
Description: partial small subunit ribosomal RNA
Source: RNAcentral
AUGUCAAAGCUGAAGCGGAGGUGUCAACUCAGUGUCGUAGAGGACCACCCGGUAUUCAGAUACUGUUCUUCACAUUCUGUUUGUAUUGUAGUACUGGUAAUGGUGAAUAAACAGGGGUUGAACUGCAGAAGUGUUACCAAGCCACUUGCAGCAUCUGGUCAAAGCUGCCUGAAACUAUCAAACUGCCUGUUGUAUCGAAGUUAUUUAGCUCAACCAACCAGUGGCGCUAUUGUCAAAGAGAGGCUGCAGGGGAGCCCAGGAUUCCCGGCGCAACAAACGGCAGGUGAUGGUGAUGGUGAUCCAGGAGAGGUGGCAGGAAGGAGACAAAAGGGUAGGAAACUGGAGGUUUCAGUCAAAUGA